UCCGCGUUGACCGCGGCAGUCCCGCGUGAAAAAUAACACACGGCAAGGGUUGCGCUCGUUACCCCACUGAAGGGAACACUUCAAAGCACGAGCUGACGACAACCAUGCAGCACCUGCCUAACAAUCUCGAAGACGUCCUGCCUUUCGGCUGGACCACAGUUAGGUUUCAAACCUUGGUAAGGUUCUUCGCUUAGCAUCGAAUUAAACCACACGCUCCACCGCUUGUGCGGGCCCCCGUCUAUUCCUUUGAGUUUUAAGCUUGCGCUCGUACUACCCAGGCGGUCAACUUAACGCGUUAGCUUCGACACUGAAGGGGUCGAACCCUCCAAUGCCUAGUUGACAUCGUUUACGGCGUGGAUUAC
This 362-nucleotide unclassified non-coding RNA is filed under the name uncultured bacterium. RNAcentral's name for it is "contains 16S-23S intergenic spacer region". The record is from RNAcentral.